UACGUAGGGACCAAGCGUUGUUCGGAUUUACUGGGCGUAAAGGGCGCGUAGGCGGCAAUUCAAGUCAUCUGUGAAAUCUCCGGGCUUAACCCGGAACGGUCAGAUGAUACUGCUUUGCUAGAGUGCGGAAGGGGCAAUCGGAAUUCUUGGUGUAGCGGUGAAAUGCGUAGAUAUCAAGAGGAAAACCUGAGGUGAAGACGGGUUGCUGGGCCGACACUGACGCUGAUAGCGCGAAAGCCAGGGGAGCAAACGGG
Molecule: ribosomal RNA, 254 nt
Filed under: uncultured bacterium
Lineage: Bacteria
Description: partial 16S ribosomal RNA
Rfam family: Bacterial small subunit ribosomal RNA
Source: RNAcentral